CCUCUCUUCAGCUCCACUGGAGCACACAGGUCCAGUGUGUUUUUAGGUAUUUUUAGGGAGAGAGAGGAAGGCCCUCCUAAUGCACGACAGACCCGCCCCAAAGUGGCUUUCCUGUUCCUAGGAGUGUGACAGCU
Small nucleolar RNA from Nannospalax galili (Upper Galilee mountains blind mole rat), 134 nucleotides. NCBI's taxonomy places the organism in Eukaryota, Metazoa, Chordata, Mammalia, Rodentia, Spalacidae. The record is from Ensembl.